This 72-nucleotide transfer RNA is filed under the name Capra hircus (goat). It matches the Rfam family "tRNA". Rfam says of the family: Transfer RNA (tRNA) molecules are approximately 80 nucleotides in length. Their secondary structure includes four short double-helical elements and three loops (D, anti-codon, and T loops). Further hydrogen bonds mediate the characteristic L-shaped molecular structure. tRNAs have two regions of fundamental functional importance: the anti-codon, which is responsible for specific mRNA codon recognition, and the 3' end, to which the tRNAs corresponding amino acid is attached (by aminoacyl-tRNA synthetases). tRNAs cope with the degeneracy of the genetic code in two manners: having more than one tRNA (with a specific anti-codon) for a particular amino acid; and 'wobble' base-pairing, i.e. permitting non-standard base-pairing at the 3rd anti-codon position. The record is from Rfam by way of RNAcentral. Lineage: Eukaryota; Metazoa; Chordata; Mammalia; Artiodactyla; Bovidae. RNAcentral also lists the same sequence under 1 other name.
UCCCUGGUGGCUCAGGUGGUAAAGAAUCUGCCUGCAAUGCAGGAGACCCAGGUUCGAUCCCUGGGUUGGGAA